CCGCACAGAAAGGGUCCGAGAUCGGCCGGCCGGGAGCCCAGAUCCCAUGGAGGCGGCGGACUGCAGCUACCAGUUCCGAGUCGCUCUGCUCGGGGACGCGGCGGUGGGCAAGACGUCACUGUUGCGGUGCUACGUGGCGGGCGCCCGCGGGGCGGCGGCGGAGCCCGAGCCCGAGCCCACUGUGGGCGUGGAGUUCUACAGCCGCGCUCUGCAGCUGCCCGCUGGGCUGCGGGUCAAGCUGCAGCUCUGGGACACCGCGGGUCACGAGCGCUUCAGGUGCAUCACCAGAUCCUUCUACCGGAACAUGGUGGGCGUUCUGUUGGUCUUUGAUGUGACGAACAGAGAGUCCUUUGAACACAUCCAAGCCUGGCACCAGGAGGUCCUAUCCUCUCAAUGCCCUGGCAAAGUGAUCUUCUUACUGAUUGGCCACAAGUGCGACCUGAGCACCCGAUGCGUCUCCACCCAGGAGGCAGAGGAGCUGGCUGCUUCCAUGGGCAUGGCCUUCAUGGAGACCUCAGCCAAAAGUAACUGCAAUGUGGACCUGGCCUUUGACCAUGUCACCACCGCCAUCGAGCAGGCUCUGCGGCAGGGGGACAUCAAGCUGGAAGAGGACUGGGCAGGUGUCCGACUCCUCCACAGAGCCCCAAACCCCAGACACCCCAACAGAAAGCAGGACUCGGGCCCAUGCCAGUGUUGACUCUGGGAGAGGGAGGGUUAAAUGGGGCCAGCCUCAGACUCCCCAGCAAGACCGGAGGACAAAAAGACUGUCUCCUGACAUGUUCCUGCCUUCUAAUUCUUGGCAUUUUUUUCUUUGUCGGGAUUGAACACAAGGCUUGGCUAUCUACAGACACCCCCAGCCCUUUUAUCUUUUAUAUUUUCAGAAUGGAUCUUGCUAAGUUGCCCAGGCUAGCCUUGAAGCUCAGUCUCUGGAGCGAUUGAGAUUACAGAAGUGUUCCACUCGGCCAGGACCUCUGCUAGGUCUCUAGUUCUCGGCACAGCCCCUUUUUAGAGAAAAAUCUAAGAGCAGGUUUGCAACUUCAUGUCAUCUAGCCUAAGUUUCUCUCUCCAUGAGUGUGAUGUGGCAGUACACAAAUGCCUGAAUCCCCAAACUGGGAAGGCAGAGGCAGGAUCAGGAGUUCAAUGACAGUCGCAGCCUUGGAGAGUUCAAGGUCAGCCUGGGCGACAUGAGACUGUUGCAAAAACCAGACUAAAAACAUUUAAAAAAAUUCUCUUUUGGGGCUUGGGGAUUUAGCUCAGUGGUAGAGCGCUUGCCUAGCAAGGCCCUGGGUUUGGUCCUCAGCUGGGGGGGGGGGGGGGAUACAUAAGGGACCGGCUUGCUCACUCAGAGCCUGCCUCACUAACAGCUGAUAUCAUGCUUCUCGAUUCCUUUCUUGGCUUCAAAUGGUCAUUUCUGGCAGCAUUCCUGGGCUGGAAGACAGCUGCCCAGCAUGUGUCCACUGCUUUGCUGGUGAGGUAGCCCGGGGAAUUCCAGUACAAGCUUGACUUAGCGCUUCCCCAGCCCUGAGAGUAGCAUGAGUCUGGCCUCAGCACAUGCUGCUUCUCGUGGUUCCCACCCCAAGCUCUGUGACUAGAGUUAAGUUUUGGAGUUGACCAUGAAUGAGCUACAGAUUUGUUGGACACAUGGUAGACAAUGCAGAGAGCCACCAAGGUCUCAGAUGAUGGACUUUGGCCUACUACACUGCCUGGAACCUGGCCAUCCUUAGGAUGAUGUUAAAGAACUUGCCUUCUUCAAGGCAUAGAAGCCCAUGGCUUUAAUCUCAGCACUGAGGAGGCAAAGUUUUACGGACUGAACUUAGGUGGACAGCCUUGCAUGGCAAACACUAGCCACUGAGCCAUCCAGCCAGGCCUCAAAUACCUUGAGAAACACCUUGUUCCUUUGGAUGGCUACACCUGCUCCACCGAGACGCCCAGCUUCCGGUUCCCAUAGUCCUUUCGAGGAAUGCUUGAUACUGGCAUCCCACAACCGUCUUCUAGAGAGCCAAGGUGCGUUGUCCCACUUCCCUUCAGUUGCAUUACUUUUCCUGAUGUCUAUUCACCAAGAACAGAAACAGUUCCACCAGGUCUAUCUUGGUGAACCAGUGAGUUUAUUGGGCUUACUUACAGGAGCAUGGGUGACCCCCAAACAGCUGCAUCACUGAAAAGUCCCACCCCAACAUGGUGACAAUCUCUCCAAAGCAACAGGGAUGGCGUUCCCCUUCAGCUGGCCUUCCACACGCUGUAUUCUCCCCCGAGACCACAUGUAGCCGGGGCAGAAUUACAUGCAGCUUGCUGGGAGGCAUUAGAACCCUAGCUGAAGGUCCAAUGACUCUGCUCAGCCCUUCCCUCCAUGAGGGAACAUUAACAGAUGUGAUCUUAGGAGCGGCACUUGGAGAC
Molecule: RNA transcript, 2394 nt
Organism: Peromyscus leucopus (white-footed mouse)
Lineage: Eukaryota; Metazoa; Chordata; Mammalia; Rodentia; Cricetidae
Gene: Rab42
Gene name: RAB42, member RAS oncogene family
Exons: 3
Source: RefSeq, a predicted model, not a curated record